This is a long non-coding RNA of Alosa sapidissima (American shad), 365 nucleotides long. RefSeq lists it as uncharacterized. NCBI's taxonomy places the organism in Eukaryota, Metazoa, Chordata, Actinopteri, Clupeiformes, Clupeidae. The record is from RefSeq and is a predicted model, not a curated record. The transcript has 3 exons.
UGUGUGUGUGUGUGUGUGUGUGUGUGUGUGUGUGUGUGUGUGUGUGUGUGUGUGUGUGUUCUGACUCACUCCAUCUGUAGUAGGGUUUCCUGCCUGAGAGGCUGAGUUUUGAUUGUUGGUCUGCUGUCUACAUUCAGUCCUAGAGGAAAAAGAAAGUGCUGCUGCAGCUGGUUCCAACCAAUAAACACAGUCAUACCCAGCAGGAGCAGAGGAAGUACUAGGAAGAAAUAUAUCAGCAAACCAACCCUGGUGGCCUUGUCUUUAUCUAAAGGGUUAAGUCAGAGGGGAAAACACUAAAAAACACUGACAAAUACUAAAGCCCAGAAGAAGACAGAUAGAUGUGGCAAGCUGGAUGAACUGUGUGG